GUUUGACUCAACACACGAAGGGAAGGAUGAAAUGAUGCAACUUUGGGCACCCAAAAAGUCAGUUAACUAUAAAACCUAUGAACAGACGCCAGCCUACCUGUCAGCCACUGGCAGAACUCCAGCAUCGUACCCUGAUUGGAGCGUGUGGCUGAGAUGGGGAGAUGGAGAGGGUGAGCUUGGUGUGCCAGCUAAUCCUGCAGGGCUAGAGAGAGCGAGAGAGCCGAAAAAGAGUGAAGGAGAGCAAGAGAGAGGGAGAGAAACGGGGAUUAUAAUCAACCUUCAAUUCAAUCACACAAGCCCAGACAAACAUUACCCACACCAUUAAACAAAAAGGCAAUCACUGAUCGAUCAAAAGUCUGAGAAAGAGCAAGAGAGAAUAUACGUAAAUAGAAAAGUAUGGACAUAGUAUGUAAUACCUUUCACUGCUUAGUGAUUGGAAGGUGUGACUGAGAUGGGGAGAUGGAGAGGGUGAGAAGGAGCCAGCUAGCUCUGCAGGGCUAGAGACAGAGAGACAAGUGUAUUGGCUACGAUCUUC
Molecule: long non-coding RNA, 535 nt
Organism: Gadus morhua (Atlantic cod)
Lineage: Eukaryota; Metazoa; Chordata; Actinopteri; Gadiformes; Gadidae
Source: Ensembl